Non-coding RNA from Triticum aestivum (bread wheat), 125 nucleotides. The record is from Rfam. Lineage: Eukaryota; Viridiplantae; Streptophyta; Magnoliopsida; Poales; Poaceae.
ACACUACUCCCUCCGUUCGGAAUUACUCGUUCAAAAAAUGAAUGUAUCUAGAUGUAUUUUAGUAGUAGAUACAUCCACUUUUAUUCAUUUUUGUGACAAGUAAUUCCGAACGGAGGGAGUAGUAC